AUUGAACGCUGGCGGCAGGCCUAACACAUGCAAGUCGAACGAGUGGCGGACGGGUGAGUAAUGUCUGGGAAACUGCCCGAUGGAGGGGGAUAACUACUGGAAACGGUAGCUAAUACCGCAUACCAUCGGAUGUGCCCAGAUGGGAUUAGCUAGGAGGUGGGGUAAUGGCUCACCGAGGCGACGAUCCCUAGCUGGUCUGAGAGGAUGACCAGCCACACUAGAACUGAGACACGUUCCAGACUCCUAGUGUAGGCAGCAGUGGGGAAUCGUGCACAAUGGGCGCAAGCCGGAUGCAGCCAAGCCGCGUGUAUGAAGAAGGCCUUCGGGUUGUAAAGUACUUUCAGCGAGGAGGCGUUACUCGCAGAAGAAGCACCGGCUAACUCCGUGCCAGCCGCCGCGGUAAUUC
Molecule: ribosomal RNA, 406 nt
Filed under: uncultured bacterium
Lineage: Bacteria
Description: partial 16S ribosomal RNA
Rfam family: Bacterial small subunit ribosomal RNA
Source: RNAcentral